GAGACGGCGGAAGCCGAAAAGCGGGGCUGACUGCACAUGCGCAGGAAACGCAGGCCAUCCGUUCCCAGAAUGCUGCGCGAGAACCCGUAAAGUUCGAGACUACGUAUCCCGUAAAACACCGCGAUCGCUCACAUAAUGCCAUCCAACCCAGAACAAAUUCAACUGCCUUGGAACCUCUGCAAAAUGAACUAACCAAAGCUCAAGUCGUAUAAUUCCUUUCUAACACCAUUUUAAUAAAACAUUUUUUGGUUCCCAUAUGGUGUUCACUCUUUCUCAUUGCAAUGACUAUUAAAAUACAAAUUGUUCUACUA
Molecule: long non-coding RNA, 311 nt
Organism: Equus caballus (horse)
Lineage: Eukaryota; Metazoa; Chordata; Mammalia; Perissodactyla; Equidae
Source: RefSeq, a predicted model, not a curated record